Molecule: ribosomal RNA, 424 nt
Filed under: uncultured Flavobacterium sp.
Lineage: Bacteria; Pseudomonadati; Bacteroidota; Flavobacteriia; Flavobacteriales; Flavobacteriaceae
Description: bacterial SSU rRNA
Rfam family: Bacterial small subunit ribosomal RNA
Source: RNAcentral
UGAGGAAUAUUGGACAAUGGGCGCAAGCCUGAUCCAGCCAUGCCGCGUGCAGGAUGACGGUCCUAUGGAUUGUAAACUGCUUUUAUACGAGAAGAAACACUCCAACGUGUUGGAGCUUGACGGUAUCGUAAGAAUAAGGAUCGGCUAACUCCGUGCCAGCAGCCGCGGUAAUACGGAGGAUCCAAGCGUUAUCCGGAAUCAUUGGGUUUAAAGGGUCCGUAGGCGGUUUGGUAAGUCAGUGGUGAAAGCCCAUCGCUCAACGGUGGAACGGCCAUUGAUACUGCCAGACUUGAAUUACUGGGAAGUAACUAGAAUAUGUAGUGUAGCGGUGAAAUGCUUAGAGAUUACAUGGAAUACCAAUUGCGAAGGCAGGUUACUACCAGUGGAUUGACGCUGAUGGACGAAAGCGUGGGUAGCGAACAGG